Molecule: ribosomal RNA, 253 nt
Filed under: uncultured bacterium
Lineage: Bacteria
Description: partial 16S ribosomal RNA
Rfam family: Bacterial small subunit ribosomal RNA
Source: RNAcentral
UACGUAGGGUGCAAGCGUUGUCCGGAAUUAUUGGGCGUAAAGAGCUCGUAGGCGGUCUGUCGCGUCGGCUGUGAAAACUCGGGGCUCAACUCCGAGCUUGCAGUCGAUACGGGCAGGCUAGAGUUCGGCAGGGGAGACUGGAAUCCCUGGUGUAGCGGUGAAAUGCGCAGAUAUCAGGAGGAACACCGGUGGCGAAGGCGGUUCUCUGGGCCUGUACUGACGCUGAGGAGCGAAAGCGUGGGGAGCAAACAGG